Molecule: long non-coding RNA, 360 nt
Filed under: Mytilus galloprovincialis (Mediterranean mussel)
Lineage: Eukaryota; Metazoa; Mollusca; Bivalvia; Mytilida; Mytilidae
Source: RNAcentral
AAAGAUAUGAGCCGGAAACGAACUGGAGAAAUAUUUACCAUUAGAGUGGUCAAAGGUGAGUCAAGGUAAGAGUGACUAGACAUUGGUUUAUAACUAACCCCAGUCUAUGAAGCAACUGCAUACCAGGCAUGACUAACCUAAGUUUUACUGUACAAAAGUAGACAAGAAGCAGAACGGAUGGACAGACAGACAGACGGACAUAUUGAUUUUUAUAUACCACCGAACUUUGAAUACAGGGUUUAUAGGAAACCAAGAGGAGAUCAAAAUUAGGAAUUUUACGAUGACCGAAUAGAACACCGAACAUCCUUAAAAAUUGUAAAAGCAACCAUUUGAUAUUAGAAAUGUACAGUGCAUAUGCCA